CCUACGGGAGGCAGCAGUGGGGAAUCUUGCGCAAUGGGCGAAAGCCUGACGCAGCAACGCCGCGUGCGGGAAGAAGGCCUUAGGGUUGUAAACCGCUUUCAGUAGGAACGAAAAUGACGGUACCUGCAGAAGAAGGUGCGGCCAACUACGUGCCAGCAGCCGCGGUGACACGUAGGCACCAAGCGUUGUCCGGAUUUAUUGGGCGUAAAGAGCUCGUAGGCGGUUCAGUAAGUCGGGUGUGAAAACUCUGGGCUUAACCCAGAGCCGCCACUCGAUACUGCUGUGACUUGAGUUCGGUAGGGGAGCAGGGAAUUCCUAGUGUAGCGGUGAAAUGCGCAGAUAUUAGGAGGAACACCGGUGGCGAAGGCGCUGCUCUGGGCCGAUACUGACGCUGAGGAGCGAAAGCGUGGGUAGCAAACAGGAUUAGAUACCCUGGUAGUCCACGCCGUAAACGUUGGGCACUAGGUGUGGGUUCCAACCAACGGAAUCCGCGCCGUCGCUAACGCAUUAAGUGCCCGCCUGGGGAGUACGGCGGCAACGCUAAAACUCAAAGGAAUUGACGG
This 563-nucleotide ribosomal RNA is filed under the name uncultured bacterium. Its description in RNAcentral is "bacterial SSU rRNA". It matches the Rfam family "Bacterial small subunit ribosomal RNA", at positions 338 to 916 of the family's 1533-position model. The record is from RNAcentral.